UACGUAGGGUGCGAGCGUUAAUCGGAAUUACUGGGCGUAAAGCGUGCGCAGGCGGUUUUAUAAGCCAGAUGUGAAAGCCCCGGGCUCAACCUGGGAAUGGCAUUUGGGACUGUAAGGCUGGAGUAUGGCAGAGGGGACUAGAAUUCCUGGUGUAGCAGUGAAAUGCGUAGAUAUCAGGAGGAAUACCGAUGGCGAAGGCAGGUCCCUGGGCCAAUACUGACGCUCAUGCACGAAAGCGUGGGGAGCGAACAGG
This 253-nucleotide ribosomal RNA is filed under the name uncultured bacterium. RNAcentral's name for it is "partial 16S ribosomal RNA". It matches the Rfam family "Bacterial small subunit ribosomal RNA", at positions 524 to 776 of the family's 1533-position model. The record is from RNAcentral.